AGUGAACGCUGGCGGUAGGCCUAACACAUGCAAGUCGAACGGCAGCACAGUAAGAGCUUGCUCUUACGGGUGGCGAGUGGCGGACGGGUGAGGAAUACAUCGGAAUCUACUUUUUCGUGGGGGAUAACGUAGGGAAACUUACGCUAAUACCGCAUACGACCUACGGGUGAAAGCAGGGGAUCUUCGGACCUUGCGCGAUUGAAUGAGCCGAUGUCGGAUUAGCUAGUUGGCGGGGUAAAGGCCCACCAAGGCGACGAUCCGUAGCUGGUCUGAGAGGAUGAUCAGCAACACGGGAACUGGGAAAGGUCCCGAACCCCUACGGGAGGCAGCAGUGGGAAAUAUUGGACAAUGGGCGAAAGCCUGUUCCGGCCAUCCGGGGUGGUUAAAGAAGGCUUUGGGGUUGUAAAGCCCUUUUGUGGGGAAAGAAAGGCGCCAGGUUAAUACCCGGUGGUUUGGCCGGUACCAAAGAAUAAGCACCGGCUAACUUCGUG
RNAcentral lists this ribosomal RNA (491 nucleotides) under uncultured bacterium. Its description in RNAcentral is "partial 16S ribosomal RNA". It matches the Rfam family "Bacterial small subunit ribosomal RNA", at positions 29 to 507 of the family's 1533-position model. The record is from RNAcentral.